Molecule: non-coding RNA, 87 nt
Organism: Pseudomonas sp. BAY1663
Lineage: Bacteria; Pseudomonadati; Pseudomonadota; Gammaproteobacteria; Pseudomonadales; Pseudomonadaceae
Source: Rfam
CGUUAUGGCGGCUGUGCGUGGGAGACCGAAAGGUCUGCCGGUUCCCUUGGAUGCCGGUUCGCCAACCCGCGUACAGCUGCCACCCUU